GCGGUCCUAGAGCCGAGGCGGACACUGCGCAUGCGCACCCCACACCGCCCCGCUAGCGGGAUCCAGGUCUGGGCCCCGCCCUACGCGUUUCCAGCGCCGAAGGUCUUAACCCCGCCCUGACUCGCACCAGCAGUGAGACAGUAGGGCAAGCAUCACCAAUGCCCUCCGCCAUCUCCCAGGCUCUGCUGAACUCAGGAGUUAUGUGACUUACUUUGGCCAAUAAAAUAUGGAAACGCCUCGUGCUUGAACAGGCUUGGGAGCGGACCAGGAGCCCAGGGAAAGGGACCAGUAGAGAUGCAGGAAAGCAGGAGGACAGGAAGGAGGCCCAGCCGGCUCCAGCCACUAAGGGAGCUCGCUCGCCUCACUUCCACAGCGGCCAGAAAGUCAGCUUCGGCGCCUCCCCCGGGACGCUGGUUCCCCGCCUCGGAUUAAGCUCGGCUGUCUGUACCGGACGCCCGCGCCUGCGCUGCACCGCCCUUCGCGGAGCGCGGAGCCAAAUGCCUACAUCCCACAAUCCCCCGCAACGCCGGGAGGGGCGAGACCUCAGCUUCCAGCUCUGGGCAAGACCAGGCUAAGAUUGUCGCGUAGUUUUCUGGGAAAUGCCGUUCGCGUUCCAGGAUGCUUAUGCCACCUUUGAGACUACGCGACCCAUAAUGCACCAGGGGCGCAGCGUCUGAACGGUGCGCGGCUGCCCCCUCGUGGCAGAUGGGCGGUGAUUGCCGAGGCUAGGCACGCUGAGGUUGCGAGAUCUGGGAGGCGAGCCUAAGUCCUGGGAACCCUUGGGAAUUCCCUCCCAACCCCAAACUUUGGGCAGUAAAGGUGGAGUGUUGACGGGAAACGGUGAAAGACUUGCGGACAGGGCCCGCUGUGAGGAUUAAAGGAAACCAGCCCAGU
Molecule: long non-coding RNA, 894 nt
Organism: Pongo pygmaeus (Bornean orangutan)
Lineage: Eukaryota; Metazoa; Chordata; Mammalia; Primates; Hominidae
Exons: 3
Source: RefSeq, a predicted model, not a curated record